Molecule: ribosomal RNA, 1488 nt
Filed under: uncultured prokaryote
Description: partial 16S ribosomal RNA
Rfam family: Bacterial small subunit ribosomal RNA
Source: RNAcentral
AGAGUUUGAUCCUGGCUCAGGAUGAACGCUAGCGGGAGGCUUAACACAUGCAAGUCGAGGGGUAACAGGGAGAAACUUCGGUUUUUCUGCUGACGACCGGCGCACGGGUGAGUAACGCGUAUGCAACCUGCCUUUUACAGAGGGAUAGCUUUCGGAAACGGAAAUUAAUACCUCAUAACACUGCGAGGUGGCAUCACCAAGCAAUUAAAACUCCGGGGGUUUGAGAUGGGCAUGCGUGACAUUAGCUAGUUGGUAAGGUAAUGGCUUACCAAGGCUACGAUGUCUAGGGGUUCUGAGAGGAUGAUCCCCCACACUGGUACUGAGACACGGACCAGACUCCUACGGGAGGCAGCAGUGAGGAAUAUUGGUCAAUGGGCGCAAGCCUGAACCAGCCAUCCCGCGUGUAGGAAGACUGCCCUAUGGGUUGUAAACUACUUUUAUAAAGGAAGAAACCCUUCUACGUGUAGAAGGCUGACUGUACUUUACGAAUAAGCACCGGCUAACUCCGUGCCAGCAGCCGCGGUAAUACGGAGGAUGCAAGCGUUAUCCGGAUUUAUUAGGUUUAAAGGGUGCGUAGGCGGGAAUGUAAGUCAGGGGUGAAAUCCUAGAGCUUAACUGUAGAACUGCCUUUGAAACUACAUACCUUGAGUUAAGUUGAGGCAGGCGGAAUGUGUAAUGUAGCGGUGAAAUGCAUAGAUAUUACACAGAACACCAAUUGCGAAGGCAGCUUGCUAAACUUCAACUGACGCUGAUUCACGAAAGCGUGGGGAGCGAACAGGAUUAGAUACCCUGGUAGUCCACGCCGUAAACGAUGCUCACUGGUUGUUGGCGCUAUAUUGUCAGCGACUGAGGGAAACCAUUAAGUGAGCCACCUGGGGAGUACGUCGGCAACGAUGAAACUCAAAGGAAUUGACGGGGGCCCGCACAAGCGGUGGAACAUGUGGUUUAAUUCGAUGAUACGCGAGGAACCUUACCUGGGCUUAAAUGUAGAGUGCAUAAACGGGAAACUGUUUUUUCCUUCGGGACUCUUUACAAGGUGCUGCAUGGUUGUCGUCAGCUCGUGCCGUGAGGUGUCGGGUUAAGUCCCAUAACGAGCGCAACCCCUAUCGUUAGUUGCCAGCGAGUCAAGUCGGGGACUCUAACGAGACUGCCGGUGUAAACCGCGAGGAAGGUGGGGAUGACGUCAAAUCAGCACGGCCCUUACGUCCAGGGCUACACACGUGUUACAAUGGCCGAUACAAAGGGCAGCUACCAGGUGACUGGAUGCUAAUCUCGAAAGUCGGUCUUAGUUCGGAUCGAAGUCUGCAACUCGACUUCGUGAAGCUGGAUUCGCUAGUAAUCGUAGAUCAGCAAUGCUACGGUGAAUACGUUCCCGGGCCUUGUACACACCGCCCGUCAAGCCAUGGAAGCUGGGGGUACCUGAAGUCUGUCACCGCAAGGAGCGGCCUAGGGUAAAACUGGUAACUAGGGCUAAGUCGUAACAAGGUA